Long non-coding RNA from Etheostoma cragini (Arkansas darter), 669 nucleotides. RefSeq lists it as uncharacterized. The transcript is spliced from 2 exons. The record is from RefSeq and is a predicted model, not a curated record. NCBI's taxonomy places the organism in Eukaryota, Metazoa, Chordata, Actinopteri, Perciformes, Percidae.
UUAUCUCUGCCCGGUAGAUGCUUCAUCACAGAACCAGAAGUGAGGAGGAGAGUGCGUACACACCUGUCAUAUAGCACUAUUGGGAGCAGGCCUAUUUAUAGCUGACUACCGCCACCACCACCCUGCAGCCUGAAAGUCACACCAGGAGAUUUUGGGAGGGAAGUCCUUGAGCUACUCUGUCAAUGCGAAGCAUUGCAGUGACAAUUUUGCAGAUGAGGUUGGUCACUGUGGAGACGCACUGCACCGUUCCCUACGCUAAAGCACAAGCUACAUCCUUCAAAGACAGAUGGUAAGUACAUACUGUCAGAAAUCCAGUGUGUGUACAUAUCUCAUCCCAUCUGCACACACAUGCACAUGCAUGUACACAACUUCUAAUCCUAUUAUCAACUGUAGUAGUCCAGUUGUUAUCAUUGUCACAUGGUGAGCUGUCGUUACAAUUACAGAUGUGUUCAUCUUUAUGUGAUGUGGUCACUUUUGCUACAAUACUAAGCACAUAGCAAGAAGAGCUGCUGUACCACAGUUACAGUUAUCAAUUUAGAGUGAAGGGGAGGAAAAUCGGUUAGUGUAAAAACUUACUUUUUUAUCUUUUUGAGAAAGUUCCAGAAAGAUAUUAAUUAUCCACUCCUGGCUACUGUACAGUGUCUUCUGUUUGCUCUGUGAAAGUCCCAA